UGAGUUUGAUUCUGGCUCAGGACGAACGCUGGCGGCGUGCCUAACACAUGCAAGUCGAGCGGGGAUCAGCAUUUGAUUUAUCAUAUGCGAAGUCCUAGCGGCGGACGGGUGAGUAACGCGUGAGCAACCUGCCUAUUAGAGGGGGAUAACACAUCGAAAGGUGUGCUAAUACCGCAUAUGGUAUUUGCUUUGCAUAAAGCGAAUAUAAAAGGAGCAAUCCGCUAAUAGAUGGGCUCGCGUCCCAUUAGCUAGUUGGUAGAGUAAAAGCCUACCAAGGCGACGAUGGGUAGCCGACCUGAGAGGGUGAUCGGCCACAUUGGGACUG
RNAcentral lists this ribosomal RNA (325 nucleotides) under uncultured bacterium. RNAcentral's name for it is "bacterial SSU rRNA". It matches the Rfam family "Bacterial small subunit ribosomal RNA", at positions 1 to 321 of the family's 1533-position model. The record is from RNAcentral.